Asterias rubens (European starfish) is the source of this 378-nucleotide long non-coding RNA. RefSeq lists it as uncharacterized. The transcript has 3 exons. The record is from RefSeq and is a predicted model, not a curated record. Lineage: Eukaryota; Metazoa; Echinodermata; Asteroidea; Forcipulatida; Asteriidae.
AUGGCUGACCGUGGACUCUUCAGUUUUCUCUUCAGUUAUUCCGUAUUUGAUCGCCUAUUCGGUCGACAAAAUCUUUCUAAAGUGUGUAAGAUGAAGUGAUCCAAUCGGAGGUUGUCAGAUCAUCAGUCAUAGUGCCGUCUAGAUUGUCAGAUCAUCAGUCAUAGUGGCUGUCUGUCCCACACAGCAGAAGUGAUGUCUCAAGCUAAUGCUACUUUCAGCCUUGUUUCAAGCAAUCUGCAAUAUAACAACUCAUUCAACUUCAUGUUUAAAGAUGAAGUGAUCCAAUCGGAGGUUGUCAGAUCAUCAGUCAUAGUGCCGUCUUAAUUGUCAGACCAUCAGUCAUAGUGGAUGUCUGUGACACAGAACAGAAGUGAUGUC